UAGGCAGCAGCAUCUGUGGUUCACCAA
This 27-nucleotide non-coding RNA is filed under the name Homo sapiens (human). The record is from RNAcentral. Lineage: Eukaryota; Metazoa; Chordata; Mammalia; Primates; Hominidae.